UGGGGAAUUUUGGACAAUGGGGGAAACCCUGAUCCAGCCAUCCCGCGUGUGCGAUGAAGGCCUUCGGGUUGUAAAGCACUUUUGGCAGGAAAGAAACGUCAUGGGUUAAUACCCCGUGAAACUGACGGUACCUGCAGAAUAAGCACCGGCUAACUACGUGCCAGCAGCCGCGGUAAUACAUAGGGUGCAAGCGUUAAUCGGAAUUACUGGGCGUAAAGCGUGCGCAGGCGGUUCGGAAAGAAAGAUGUGAAAUCCCAGAGCUCAACUUUGGAACUGCAUUUUUAACUACCGGGCUAGAGUGUGUCAGAGGGAGGUGGAAUUCCGCGUGUAGCAGUGAAAUGCGUAGAUAUGCGGAGGAACACCGAUGGCGAAGGCAGCCUCCUGGGAUAACACUGACGCUCAUGCACGAAAGCGUGGGGAGCAAACAGG
Molecule: ribosomal RNA, 429 nt
Filed under: Acidobacteriota bacterium
Lineage: Bacteria; Pseudomonadati; Acidobacteriota
Description: Acidobacteria bacterium partial 16S ribosomal RNA
Rfam family: Bacterial small subunit ribosomal RNA
Source: RNAcentral